RNAcentral lists this ribosomal RNA (559 nucleotides) under Massilia varians. RNAcentral describes it as "bacterial SSU rRNA". It matches the Rfam family "Bacterial small subunit ribosomal RNA", at positions 327 to 873 of the family's 1533-position model. The record is from RNAcentral. Lineage: Bacteria; Pseudomonadati; Pseudomonadota; Betaproteobacteria; Burkholderiales; Oxalobacteraceae.
UGGGGGGCCCUUCGGGAGGCAGCAGUGGGGAAUUUUGGACAAUGGGCGCAAGCCUGAUCCAGCAAUGCCGCGUGAGUGAAGAAGGCCUUCGGGUUGUAAAGCUCUUUUGUCAGGGAAGAAACGGCUCCGGCUAAUAUCCGGGGCUAAUGACGGUACCUGAAGAAUAAGCACCGGCUAACUACGUGCCAGCAGCCGCGGUAAUACGUAGGGUGCAAGCGUUAAUCGGAAUUACUGGGCGUAAAGCGUGCGCAGGCGGUUUUGUAAGUCUGACGUGAAAGCCCCGGGCUCAACCUGGGAAUUGCGUUGGAGACUGCAAGGCUUGAAUCUGGCAGAGGGGGGUAGAAUUCCACGUGUAGCAGUGAAAUGCGUAGAGAUGUGGAGGAACACCGAUGGCGAAGGCAGCCCCCUGGGUCAAGAUUGACGCUCAUGCACGAAAGCGUGGGGAGCAAACAGGAUUAGAUACCCUGGUAGUCCACGCCCUAAACGAUGUCUACUAGUUGUCGGGUUUUAAUUAACUUGGUAACGCAGCUAACGCGUGAAGUAGACCGCCUGUACUCUG